RNAcentral lists this unclassified non-coding RNA (302 nucleotides) under uncultured fungus. RNAcentral describes it as "sequence contains ITS1". The stretch from base 1 to 105 matches the Rfam family "5.8S ribosomal RNA", at positions 50 to 154 of the family's 154-position model. The record is from RNAcentral. Lineage: Eukaryota; Fungi.
GAAAUGCGAUAAGUAGUGUGAAUUGCAGAAUUCAGUGAAUCAUCGAAUCUUUGAACGCACAUUGCGCCCUUUGGUAUUCCUUAGGGCAUGCCUGUUCGAGCGUCAUUUAAACCUUCAAGCUCAGCUUGGUGUUGGGUGACUGUCCGCUGCCCUCGGGUGCGGACUCGCCUCAAAAUCAUUGGCGGCCGGUACAUUGGCUUCGAGCGCAGCAGAAACGCGAACUCGAGCCCGUUGUAUUGGCUCCCAGAAGCUAUCUUCAUAAUUUUGACCUCGGAUCAGGUAGGGAUACCCGCUGAACUUAA